UACGUAGGGCGCAAGCGUUGUCCGGAAUUAUUGGGCGUAAAGAGCUCGUAGGUGGUUUGUUACGUCUGCUGUGAAAACCUAGGGCUUAACCCUGGCCUGCAGUGGAUACGGGCAGACUAGAGGUAGGUAGGGGAGAAUGGAAUUCCCGGUGUAGCGGUGAAAUGCGCAGAUAUCGGGAGGAACACCGGUGGCGAAGGCGGUUCUCUGGGCCUUUACCUGACACUGAGGAGCGAAAGCGUGGGGAGCGAACAGG
RNAcentral lists this ribosomal RNA (253 nucleotides) under uncultured bacterium. RNAcentral's name for it is "partial 16S ribosomal RNA". It matches the Rfam family "Bacterial small subunit ribosomal RNA", at positions 524 to 776 of the family's 1533-position model. The record is from RNAcentral.